RNAcentral lists this unclassified non-coding RNA (231 nucleotides) under plant metagenome. RNAcentral's name for it is "partial contains small subunit ribosomal RNA, internal transcribed spacer 1, and 5.8S ribosomal RNA". The record is from RNAcentral.
UCUCCGUUGGUGAACCAGCGGAGGGAUCAUUACAGAGUUGCAAAACUCCCAAACCAUUGUGAACGUUACCUAUCCCGUUGCUUCGGCGGGCGGCCCGGGCCCCGCACCCGGCGCCCCCCGGCCCCCCGUGGGCGCCCGCCGGAGGUAAACCAAACCCCUGAAUUUCAUGGCCUCUCUGAGUCUUCUGUACUGAAUAAGUCAAAACUUUCAACAACGGAUCUCUUGGUUCUU